RNAcentral lists this long non-coding RNA (1303 nucleotides) under Mus musculus (house mouse). RNAcentral's name for it is "RIKEN cDNA 5830428M24 gene". The record is from RNAcentral. Lineage: Eukaryota; Metazoa; Chordata; Mammalia; Rodentia; Muridae.
GUAGAUACAGGAAGCCGCUGCUAAGGUGGCCUCAGAGAGGAACCGGUGUGGUGAACUCCUGGCAUGCGCAGGUGACAAGAGGUUCCGCAGGAAUGAAUGGAGUCUCUACACAUCAAAUCGUGUGUCUUGACUACUCAGGAUGUCAAGGGCAAAGGUUAACUCCUGGGGGUUUUCUUUCUGUAUUAAGAUUCUCAAGAGAACAGAACCAGUGGUGGAUGUGGAAACAAGGCUCCGAAAAUGUUAAAGAAGCCACUCCUGGUCAUUACAUCAGCUAAACGACAGGCUCUGAUUCACCUGGGCUGUGGGAUUUCCAGGAUCAAAGCAAGUGUAAGAGGGCUGAUGGUGGGCCACUGUCACCACACCCUUCAUCUUUCACUGUGUCAUCUGAGGUUCACAAAAGCCCUCAGGGUCCUAGCUGACUGGGACACCUGGAAAGGACACCCCCUGCCCCGUCCCGUUGGGCUGCCUGCAGGCUGUGCAGUACACUGGGAACUCCAGGUUCCCAGCUUUGUGAGCUGUCACACAUGCUAGGGCGGGCCGUAGUGAUGUACUGACUUUGAGUUCUGCUGCUAUCAGUAACCCUCAUCCAGAUUUCUGUACGUGACUCCAGUAAGGCCAUGUUGGAUUCUGAUAGUACCCAUCCUCUGUUCUGUUCUCCGUUCCCUCUCUGAGGUUGUUCUACAGUGCCUUGCUUCUGAUUGUGCUGUCAACCUUCUCAGUCCCUGGGUUGGACCUAGGACAACAGGCCAGCCUUUGGUUAGCAUCAGCAGCUGAGUGGAGACUCGUCUCCAAGCAUCAAGGAUGUGAAAAUGUGAUCUUGUUGGGGAUAGUGGGAGCUUGGGGGAUGGGUUCCUUUGUACUUCUCUCAAGGUCUCCUGGUCCCUCCCUGUGUGUUUGUGGGCGCCACAGACAGCCUCACAAUCAGGAUGAGUGGUAACGGGACAGUCAAACACAAUGAAGGGAAUCAUUGUCUCACGAGAGUCAGAACAUCUGUUCCUCCCACCGCACCUGGGCGAAGGCCAAAUAAUCAAAAGAAGGAAACAGGAUCUGCCAACAACGCACUUUACCUUGAGUCUUUGUGUAGAGAAUACCUUCUCCAAGUAGGCGCCUUUCAUUGGCUCAGAUUUUCCCAUCUCAGUUGUCAUUAUAACUGAAAGCUAUUGUAGCUCAUAAUUUCACAUUGUCCUUUCAAAUAGAAGCAUCGCCAAGCAGAUGUGAACAAUUAUCUUCAAUUGUGAUUUUUUUUCCAUUAAAUUUCUAAAGGAAUACCUAACCUGGGUGUUCAAACAUUGGUUAAUCCAAA